Vicia villosa (hairy vetch) is the source of this 969-nucleotide long non-coding RNA. RefSeq lists it as uncharacterized. The transcript has 3 exons. Lineage: Eukaryota; Viridiplantae; Streptophyta; Magnoliopsida; Fabales; Fabaceae. The record is from RefSeq and is a predicted model, not a curated record.
AUUGGUUUUGUCCUUGAUUGCAUUGCUGAACCCGCAUGUUUUGAACCAUGCCCGCAUACCGAAUGCCUCAUGAUGGGAAUGCAGAUAACCUGCAGUAGCUUUUCCUUUGUCGACUUGUCUCGGAUUAUCUUGCAGGUUGUGUGGACAGAGCAGCUCGGCUUUUGUUCUAUGCAGGAUUGAUGUAUGUUUUAUCUGUGGUUAGGUUUGCGGUUUGAAUGCUGCGAGGAUACCUCUUUGUUCACGGCGAGGCUUUUGGCUUGAUGCAGAUUGGCGUAUCAGUUGUGAUGAAACAUACAGCGUAUGUACGAGCCCAUGUCGACAAUGAGGAUUUGUUAGCUUGGAGAGGGCAUGGUUACAUGGAUGGCUCAUGACUGUGCGUAUUCUGAACCAAAACGUGGACUGUUUUUCUUUACUUUGUGCUGAGUGGAUUCAAAUGAACUUCUUCCUUGGGUCGGUUUUGGUUGCAGCAAGCUUAUGCGGUGUGGAGGAUGAAGGAUGCAGGCCGGUUUGAGUUUCAACAUGGAUAUUAACUUGAAGUGUUGUAUAGUACGGCUGAAGUGCGAACGAAGUUUGGUUUUUUUUUGGAGUAGAUGCAAGUCUUUGUUUGGGUGCAGACCUGAGCUAGUGUGACAGGUAUGGUGUUGUUGGAACUGUUUGAAGCCCUCUUGUAUAGACCUUGUUCAUUUGCAAUGGAAGUGACUAUGCAUUCUAUGUGAAUUUAAAGGGGACUGUGUGGUAUGAAGAUGAUCAUGAGGAAAUCGAAGGGUACGACGGCAUGAUGCAAUGGGGAGUAAACAAGAUGAAUUUUAUAAUCAUGGUGGAACUUAGGAUUAGGAAUAUGAAGAUUGAAUUCUAGCUUUUGUAUAGAUUUUGUGUAAAUUGGUGUGGAUGUAAUGGAGAUAUUUUUUGUAAUGUAUUUUGGGUCUUGAGAUGUAAUGGAUGUGUAAUAUAAUUGGCUUUGUAAUGAAA